AGUUGAUGAUACCCUAGAUGACGAGUCAGAUUCGUGUUAAACGAUGUUGAUAACACUAUUUUAAUUACCAUUCAUGCCUUUCUGAUG
This 87-nucleotide small nucleolar RNA is filed under the name Brettanomyces bruxellensis. Lineage: Eukaryota; Fungi; Ascomycota; Pichiomycetes; Pichiales; Pichiaceae. RNAcentral also lists the same sequence under 1 other name. The record is from RNAcentral.